GACGAACGCUGGCGGCGUGCUUAACACAUGCAAGUCGAACGGUGAAGGGACCGGUUUUUGCUGGUCUGGAUGAGUGGCGAACGGGUGAGUAACACGUGAGUAACCUGCCCCCUUCUUCUGGAUAACCGCAUGAAAGUGUGGCUAAUACGGGAUAUUCUGCGCCUGCUGCAUGGUGGGUGUGGGAAAGAUAUUGUUUCGGUGGGGGAUGGGCUCGCGGCCUAUCAGCUUGUUGGUGGGGUGAUGGCCUACCAAGGCGGUGACGGGUAGCCGGCCUGAGAGGGUGGACGGUCACACUGGGACUGAGACACGGCCCAGACUCCUACGGGAGGCAGCAGUGGGGAAUAUUGCACAAUGGGCGCAAGCCUGAUGCAGCGACGCCGCGUGAGGGAUGGAGGCCUUCGGGUUGUAAACCUCUUUCGCCAGUGAAGCAGGCCUGUCCCUUUUGUGGGUGGGUUGACGGUAGCUGGAUAAGAAGCGCCGGCUAACUACGUG
Molecule: ribosomal RNA, 492 nt
Filed under: uncultured bacterium
Lineage: Bacteria
Description: partial 16S ribosomal RNA
Rfam family: Bacterial small subunit ribosomal RNA
Source: RNAcentral